This 1113-nucleotide long non-coding RNA is filed under the name Linum usitatissimum (flax). Its description in RNAcentral is "long non-coding RNA (LUSI_LNC003512)". The record is from RNAcentral. Lineage: Eukaryota; Viridiplantae; Streptophyta; Magnoliopsida; Malpighiales; Linaceae.
AAUGUCAUAUUAAUUAUAUUUCACUACAUCUACUAUAACAUAGAAGCACCAAAGGGUUUGAAUCAGAGGAACACUUACUCAUCCAUUCUGGUUUGUGUAUGUGGUCUUUUAUAACAUCGUGAUCCUUGUAGCGACCAAACCAGAUCCUUUCGAUACCUCAACAACUUGAUUUUUGAGGAAGCGAUUUUACUUUACACCUUUCACUUGAAAAAAUCAAAGAAUGUGUUCCUACAAAUGAAGAAGGCGGAGUAAUAUAUCAGUAAUCACUUUUCUUAUGAUACUAAUACAUGUAAAAUAUAUUUUGAGCUAUAUAUGGAUUCAUUAUGCAAUGAAAUGGAAGAUCAGAAGAUAACUGAACAUAAAUGAUCACUACUUCGCAAUUUUUCAGUCUUGAGACUAUUCAUAAAAGGGAGGAAAUUCCUCACCCUAAUCCACUCUAAUGAUAGACCCACGAUUUUAAAAUAUCAAUGAACCAAAACGGUCCUAAAUCCAGUUUCUAAUGUAUGUUUUGAAUACAGUUCAUAAUGUAUGUUUUGGUCAAUAGAGCUUGUGACAGAAUCCCUCGAUUCCGAAGGGAAAUGGAUGAACUUAGCUCAUGUGAUUCUUAUAAGCUUCUCGAUUGAAAAUCCUACCGAAUCAACCUUAUCAGUAACGCUAUCACUUGAUUUAUGAAUUGUACGAAAGCUACUAUUCUAUUUUUAUGAACUGUUUGCAACAACUAUCAACAUGUGCUCUAACGAUGAUGUUGAAUCAGAAUUGGGGAUUCCCUAACUUCCAUUAAUAAUCGGUUCAUUAGAACUGUCUAUGAAUACUUGCCUGUUGACGAUGCAAUUGAAAUCAUUCGAGAUUCCUUGAGGAUUGGUGAUCAUACUCUGGUGUUUAUUAGGGGAUAAACUUUGUCAUUGUCGUAGGUUGGGAACAUAGGUUGGUGAUCAUGGUCAGAAGAAUCUUCCCUAGCUAUCCAGCUUUUGAAUAAGCUGAGGCUCCAGCUCGUAUAUCAUGCCUGUUGUAUAUAUAAUUCAGAAACUGCAAUCUCACGAUCACAAGACAUUCAUAAGGAAAUUGAAUAAAAAAUAUAUUCAUACGUACAUAAGUGCAGGGAAAAACACUGAC